CAUUUGAUGCUACUGCCAGUUUUAUUAUUGUUAUUAUGCUCAUUAAUAUUAAUACUCAGCCACUGUACCUAUUUAAGAUUGAAGAGGAGAAAGGCAAGGUUUUGCUGAAAUCAUGAUAGCAGUGACAAUGGGUUUGGGGCGGGUGGGCAUGAGGGGCUUGAAGGCUCCUUGAAGCGACCUUCCUAGUUAUAAUAUUUGAAAAUGUAGAAUAAUUUAUGGGUCAGAUUGCCAAUGGUUCCUUCUCCUUUCUAAAAACCAAUUCUGAAUUUGCUUCACCAUAUUUUUGAUGAUGUGUUUUAUGGCCUCACAAACUCCCAGCUGGUUCCCUCGAUGAUCUCGUCUCUGUGGUUACUGUCAACAAUCCACAUUCGUGUUGUGGCAUAUCAUCUUACAGAAGCAUUUAAAGCAGCUCAGGGCUUCUUUCCUCUGAUGUAGAUUUUCUCCAUUGUUACUCAACGAGGCUCUGACAUCAGCCUCCUUUCAGUUC
This is a long non-coding RNA of Homo sapiens (human), 487 nucleotides long. The record is from Ensembl. Lineage: Eukaryota; Metazoa; Chordata; Mammalia; Primates; Hominidae.